Acomys russatus (golden spiny mouse) is the source of this 128-nucleotide small nucleolar RNA. RefSeq annotates it as small nucleolar RNA SNORA17. The record is from RefSeq and is a predicted model, not a curated record. The transcript has a single exon. Lineage: Eukaryota; Metazoa; Chordata; Mammalia; Rodentia; Muridae.
ACUGUACUUAGAGGCAUUGCAGGUGUGGCAGCUAUGUCACAUGGGCAUCAGUAGGCAGAGAGAAGAAAUAGGCUGUCUUUGCUCAGUGUUCUCAUGUAUGACAUCUGAAUGGUGAGUAACCUAACAUU